UAAUUACAUUAGAUGUAUGUUUCAUUAUAAUACUUUAUUCUGAUUGGCUAACUGCACAUCACGUGUUAUUCCGUAAGCAGUUGCAUUGCUCAAUACAACUUUUUAUUCAUAAUACGCGUGGUAAAACAAUAAAGUGCACAGGUGAAUUAAAUAAAAAAAAUAUAUAAAAUUCGUGUUUUCAUGAUCAUAGCUAAAAAAUGUAAUUAUAAGUAUUGAAUGCUUCUUUUUGUAACUUU
This 236-nucleotide long non-coding RNA is filed under the name Mytilus galloprovincialis (Mediterranean mussel). The record is from RNAcentral. Lineage: Eukaryota; Metazoa; Mollusca; Bivalvia; Mytilida; Mytilidae.